GAUUCCUGCUAGGUGGACCAGGUUUCACCAUGGGGGUCAGAGGUUUUCUUUCUAUGAUGACGUGGCAAAUGGAGAGGAGAGGGAGUGGGGCCACAAGAAGCAUCACAAGCACCACCAUGUUGAAGGAGAAGAGGAGCAUGAGCAUGAGCAUGAGCAUGAGCAUGAGGAGCAUGAUCAUGAGCAUGAUCACGAGGAGCAUGAGCAUGAGCAUGAGGAGCAUGAUCAUGAGCAUGAUCACGAGGAGCAUGGGCACGGGCACGGGCACGGGCACGAUCACGAGCAUGAGCAUGGGCACGAUCACGAGGAGCACGGGCACGGGCAUGAGGAGCACGGGCACGAGCAUGAGCACGAGGAGCAUGAGCAUGAGCAUGGGCAUGGGCAUGGACAU
This 388-nucleotide long non-coding RNA is filed under the name Populus trichocarpa (black cottonwood). RNAcentral describes it as "long non-coding RNA (PTRI_LNC000988)". Lineage: Eukaryota; Viridiplantae; Streptophyta; Magnoliopsida; Malpighiales; Salicaceae. The record is from RNAcentral.